AUUAAUAAUCAGGGUUUAGCACAUAAAUACUGUAUUGCUGGUAUAUACGAUUACAGCAACAGUUAACUAUGAACGGCUGUACCUCAUAAACAGUAUGCUCCAGAAGUAUUGGCACCCUUAUUAAUACAGGGCCAGUGCUGAUGUUCAGAGCUGCAUUACACCCUGGGUGAAUUAUCCAAAGCCCUGCCAAACACACACACCUCCAAUAUGAUGCAUGUGCUUCAACGCAGCAGCAUGAAUUAUUUCUCAAGUUUUAAUCCUAAAUCCCAUCUGCUAAGAAGACUGAUGUGAAUAGCAGUAAGAGAGAAAGAGGAGAAGUCGUCAGACAGUGAAGAGACAGAAGGAGGUAAUUCUGCUGCUGGACUGAUACGAUUGCAGCCCAAAUGGGAAAAGAUCCCAGAGUGACUACAAAGGACAGAAGUGGAGCUGGCUCCAUGUGAGCAG
Long non-coding RNA from Tachysurus fulvidraco (yellow catfish), 444 nucleotides. RefSeq lists it as uncharacterized. Lineage: Eukaryota; Metazoa; Chordata; Actinopteri; Siluriformes; Bagridae. The record is from RefSeq and is a predicted model, not a curated record. The transcript has 4 exons.